UUCCACGGUUUCUGCGACGCAGCUAGCGCAUUAAGCGCCCCGCCUGGGGAGUACGAUCGCAAGAUUAAAACUCAAAGGAAUUGACGGGGCCCCGCACAAGCAGCGGAGCAUGCGGCUUAAUUCGACGCAACGCGAAGAACCUUACCAAGGCUUGACAUAUACAGGAAUAUGGCAGAGAUGUCAUAGCGGUAAAACGUCUGUAUACAGGUGGUGCAUGGUUGUCGUCAGCUCGUGUCGUGAGAUGUUGGGUUAAGUCCCGCAACGAGCGCAACCCUCGUUCUGUGUUGCCAGCAUUUAGUUGGGGACUCACAGGAGACUGCCGGGGUCAACUCGGAGGAAGGUGGGGAUGACGUCAAAUCAUCAUGCCCCUUAUGUCUUGGGCUGCACGCAUGCUACAAUGGCUGGUACAAAGGGCUGCAAUACUGCAAAGUGGAGCGAAUCCCAAAAAGCCAGUCUCAGUUCGGAUUGGGGUCUGCAACUCGACCCCAUGAAGUCGGAGUUGCUAGUAAUCGUAGAUCAGCAACGCUACGGUGAAUACGUUCCCGGGGCUUGUACACACCGCCCGUCACAUCACGAAAGUCGGUAACACCCAAAAGUCAGUGGCCCAACCGCAAGGAGGGAGCUGCCAAAG
This 631-nucleotide ribosomal RNA is filed under the name uncultured Actinomycetes bacterium. Its description in RNAcentral is "bacterial SSU rRNA". It matches the Rfam family "Bacterial small subunit ribosomal RNA", at positions 830 to 1461 of the family's 1533-position model. Lineage: Bacteria; Bacillati; Actinomycetota; Actinomycetes. The record is from RNAcentral.